UGACCAACCAAAUAAUCUCAAGUUUUGGGCUAAAAUCAUCCCUCUGCUAUAGCCCAAACCUAAGGUACAUCCUUGUGUUACUAUAGUGAGCAAAAAACGUCCUUGUACUAUUCAAAAAGUGGCAAAAUCCAUUCUUCUGUUAGAAGCUGUCAAAAUACUCACGGUCCCAACAAAAGAACGUGCCAAGCACGUGGCUUUCCCCUUAAAUUUUCCAAGUAUCCUUCUCAUUGUCUUCCACCUUCAGCAAAGCAGACUUCAAUAACUCAACUGUCCUUCAACUAAAAUAGCCUAGAACUUCUGGGAACAGAAAUCAUAGCUCCAACUCUUUUACACCAACUCAAAGGGCUAUGUCUACCUUGUCAUCGCUUCUCACAAGACAUGCAACAGGAGAAUAAUGCAACUAUUUUAGUUGGAGCAAUGAAGAGCCUAAUUAAGAUCUCUUCAUAUGAUUCAAAACUCUCGAAAAAGUGGUUGAUCGCGAGGCACAAUUUAAAGAUUGUUACAACAAUGAGAAGCAAUUGGAGAAGAAGUUGAAUACCUUGUAUGUACAGUUUACAAGUUAAAUGAAAAGUAUUAUUGUUGCCCAAGAGUACUUGUAUCAUCUCUUCUUUAACAAGUGCAAUGUACUGUUAAGUUCUUUGUUUUUCAAGUCUAAUAAAGUACUUGUAUAGUUAAAUCUUCA
This is a long non-coding RNA of Lycium barbarum (goji berry), 682 nucleotides long. RefSeq lists it as uncharacterized. The record is from RefSeq and is a predicted model, not a curated record. NCBI's taxonomy places the organism in Eukaryota, Viridiplantae, Streptophyta, Magnoliopsida, Solanales, Solanaceae. The transcript is spliced from 2 exons.